This 258-nucleotide non-coding RNA is filed under the name Paenibacillus sp. Its description in RNAcentral is "T-box sequence". It matches the Rfam family "T-box leader". From Rfam's summary of the family: Uncharged tRNA acts as the effector for transcription antitermination of genes in the T-box leader family. T-boxes are found upstream of many aminoacyl-tRNA synthetase genes and some amino acid biosynthetic genes usually in Gram-positive bacteria. The anticodon of a specific tRNA base pairs to a specifier sequence within the T-box motif, and the NCCA acceptor tail of the tRNA base pairs to a conserved bulge in the T-box antiterminator hairpin. Lineage: Bacteria; Bacillati; Bacillota; Bacilli; Caryophanales; Paenibacillaceae. The record is from RNAcentral.
GUAUUUCCGAGGAAGAGAUAAGUACGAAGAUGCAGCCUUGAACAGAGAGCCGGGGGAGCUGGAAACCGGUCAGGGACGGCUUCGGAAAAUGGUCUUGGAGGAACCGCUUUUGAGCGAAAACGGCGUUCUGCCGGCGUAAAGGAGCGGCGUGAUCCAGCGUUAAUGGACGGCCUGCGUCAAGCAGCGCCGGCGAGCCUGCGAUCCGAAAGGGUCCGGGGAAAUUGGGUGGUAACGCGUGAGAUAACUCUCGUCCCAUAG